Molecule: non-coding RNA, 502 nt
Organism: Chlorocebus sabaeus (green monkey)
Lineage: Eukaryota; Metazoa; Chordata; Mammalia; Primates; Cercopithecidae
Source: RefSeq, a predicted model, not a curated record
ACGCACCGGGACGCACACGCCAGGUCGCACGUCCGCGGCCCCGCCCCGCGGGCGACGGGGUUUGGGGACUGUCCGAGGUGCUCUCCCGCGGAGCUGUUUCCAAAAGUACACGUCGUGUGGUUUUGAGUCAUUGUGUUCUGGAGUGAGACGAGGCUAGAGACGGGGUGUCACUGUGUUAGCCAGGAUGGUCUCGAUCUCCUGACCUCGUAAUCCACCCACCUCGGCUUCCCAAAGUGCUAGGAUUACAGGCGUGAGCCACCACUCCCGGCCUAUUCAAUUUUUCUAAUGAUGCUAUGAGGAGGGCAAGUUGAAGACAUCUUCAGAUGACAAACAAAAGCAGAGUUAGCUGCCAUAGGCCCUUACCAUGGAAACUACUGAAGAAUGAACCUAAGACACAAGAAAACUGAACCCAAAAGGAAAUAGGGAAAUGCAAGAAAAAAUGACAGAGUCUUGCUGUAUUGCCCAGGCUGUAGUACAGUGGUAUGAUCUUAGCUCACUGCAA